GCUGGCGGCAGGCCUAACACAUGCAAGUCGAGCGGUAACAGAAAGAAAGCUUGCUUUCUUUGCUGACGAGCGGCGGACGGGUGAGUAAUGCCUGGGAAUAUGCCUUAGUGUGGGGGAUAACUAUUGGAAACGAUAGCUAAUACCGCAUAACGUCUUCGGACCAAAGAGGGGGACCUUCGGGCCUCUCGCGCUAAGAUUAGCCCAGGUGGGAUUAGCUAGUUGGUGAGGUAAAGGCUCACCAAGGCAACGAUCCCUAGCUGGUCUGAGAGGAUGAUCAGCCACACUGGAGCUGAGACACGGUCCAGACUCCUACGGGAGGCAGCAGUGGGGAAUAUUGCACAAUGGGGGAAACCCUGAUGCAGCCAUGCCGCGUGUAUGAAGAAGGCCUUCGGGUUGUAAAGUACUUUCAGUCGUGAGGAAGGCAUUGUAGUUAAUAGCUGCAGUGCUUGACGUUAGCGACAGAAGAAGCACCGGCUAACUCCGUG
This 485-nucleotide ribosomal RNA is filed under the name uncultured bacterium. RNAcentral's name for it is "bacterial SSU rRNA". It matches the Rfam family "Bacterial small subunit ribosomal RNA", at positions 35 to 507 of the family's 1533-position model. The record is from RNAcentral.